CAAAGCUAAAAAAUAGCUAAUUUAACUAGCCAGUUUUGGCCAACUACAUAUAAAUACAUAUGAAUUAAAUCCUGUUUUAUAUUCAUAUAUCAUAUAAAAGUUAUAAAACUGUGGAUAGAGGAAGGUGGAGAAGAGGAAGUUAGGUCACUGGAAGGUUCAUUCCUUAAUGUCAAUGGAAGGAGACAAGUUGAUCGAUGGAGAAGGAGAAGGAGAGAGAAGAGAAAAAUAAAAUAGGGGUGGUGCUGUAGUGGAAACUAGGGUUUUCUAAAUUAGAUGAAUGGAAUUAGAAUUAUCAGUUACAGAAAAUAACAAUUCAGUUGUUUGACCACACUAGUGUCAACAUCAGAUGCAUCUAUUGCAGAAAACAAUAAUCCUGUGUUUUUGUUGGACAUGGUAGUGUUUUUUCUUUAGCACAUAUUAUUCCAAAUUUUCUUCCCAUGUUAUUUUGUUAUUUUUUUAGCACAUUGUAGACUUGUAGUGUUUCAUUUGACGUUUAUGUUUGCUAAACUUCUUCAACAGUUGAGAUUGUUUAUAUUUUAUCGUGUUUUGUUCAUGAAAGUACUUCAAAAUAGCUUUGACAGUUCUUUAUAAUAUGAUCAGAACAAAGGGACAGAAAUUGAAGCUGGAGCAACUCCUUAGGAACUCAAACGGUUACAAAAAAGCUAAGUUGGUGAAAUCUCAAACCCCUUCGGAAGAAAUUUGAAAUUUUAGAUUUUGUAUCAGAUUUAGACGAAAGGCAAUUCUAAUUUGAAACCACAUCAAAAUCUAAGCUUCCAUAGGUUUGUAGUUUGAACCAUUUUGGUGAAAUGAUUUUCAUUGUAUCAAUAAUGAUGUUUUGAUAUAUCUAUGAUUUUGACUAGAAUCUCAUUAAUAUUCUAUGAUUAUUUCUGCAUAGACGUAUUUUUUAUUCAAAGUUGUACUCUAACAAAUUCCCUUUGCUGGGUUGCUACUUGUUAGAUAGUUAUUUUGAUAUCUCAUCUGAAACUAGUUUAGUUUUAAUAUUUUAUCUUUUAAUUACAUUUACAUUUUACAG
This 1033-nucleotide long non-coding RNA is filed under the name Zostera marina. RNAcentral describes it as "long non-coding RNA (ZMAR_LNC003307)". The record is from RNAcentral. Lineage: Eukaryota; Viridiplantae; Streptophyta; Magnoliopsida; Alismatales; Zosteraceae.